GGGCAGCAACCCAACAACGGGUUGUCUGAUUCAUCUGAAAAUUUCAGGGCAGAUAGAUCUUGACCUGAUAAACAAUUUUAUCCUGUCAGAUUUGCUCUAAAUGCUUUGGUUUUUGAGUUAUAAGCCAAAAACUGCAUUUUACCCCUAUGUUCUAUUUUUAGCCGUGGCGGCCAUCUUGAUUCGAUGUCCGUGUCACUGGACACAUUUUUUAAAAUAAAUACCCCCAACAUGAUUGUGGCCAAGUUUGGAUUAAUUUGUCCCAGUAG
This 266-nucleotide long non-coding RNA is filed under the name Mytilus galloprovincialis (Mediterranean mussel). Lineage: Eukaryota; Metazoa; Mollusca; Bivalvia; Mytilida; Mytilidae. The record is from RNAcentral.